This 497-nucleotide ribosomal RNA is filed under the name uncultured bacterium. Its description in RNAcentral is "partial 16S ribosomal RNA". It matches the Rfam family "Bacterial small subunit ribosomal RNA", at positions 28 to 507 of the family's 1533-position model. The record is from RNAcentral.
GAUGAACGCUGACGGCGUGCCUAAUACAUGCAAGUCGAGCGAACGGACGAGAAGCUUGCUUCUCUGAUGUUAGCGGCGGACGGGUGAGUAACACGUGUAUAACCUACCUAUAAGACUGGGAUAACUUCGGGAAACCGGAGCUAAUACCGUAUGAUAUUUUGAACCGCAUGGUUCAAAAGUGAAAGACGGUCUUGCUGUCACUUAUAGAUGGAUCCGCGCUGCAUUAGCUAGUUGGUAAGGUAACGGCUUACCAAGGCAACGAUGCAUAGCCGACCUGAGAGGGUGAUCGGCCACACUGGAAGUGAGACAGGGUCAAGACUACUACGGGAGGCAGCAGUCGGGAAUCUUACGCAAUAGGCGAAAGCAUGACGGAGCAACGCCGCGUGAGUGAUGAAGGUCUUCGGAUCGUAAAACUCUGUUAUUAGGGAAGAACAUAUGUGUAAGUAACUGUGCACAUCUUGACGGUAACUAAUCAGAAAGCCACGGCUAACUACGUG